RNAcentral lists this ribosomal RNA (478 nucleotides) under uncultured bacterium. RNAcentral describes it as "partial 16S ribosomal RNA". It matches the Rfam family "Bacterial small subunit ribosomal RNA", at positions 28 to 507 of the family's 1533-position model. The record is from RNAcentral.
GAUGAACGCUGGCGGCGUGCUUAACACAUGCAAGUCGAACGGGAAACCUUUUAAUGAAGCUUCGGCAGAUUUCGCUGGUUUCUAGUGGCGGACGGGUGAGUAACGCGUGGGUAACCUGCCUUAUACAGGGGGAUAACAGUCAGAAAUGACUGCUAAUACCGCAUCAGCGCACAGGACCGCAUGGUCCGGUGUGAAAAACUCCGGUGGUAUAAGAUGGACCCGCGUUGGAUUAGCUUGUUGGUGGGGUAACGGCUCACCAAGGCGACGAUCCAUAGCCGGCAUGUGAGGGUGGACGUACACACUUGCACUGAGACACGGUGCAGAAUAUUGCGCGAGGGAGGCGAGCGGAAUAUAGCAAAAUCGCGGAAAUGAUGAUGCAGCGAGGCUGCGAGAAGGAAGAAGUAUCUGGGUAUGUAAAUAUAUAUAAGCAGUGAACACAGUGACGGUACCCGAAGAAGAAGCCCCGGCUAACUCCGUG